Molecule: unclassified non-coding RNA, 4359 nt
Filed under: Pocillopora damicornis (cauliflower coral)
Lineage: Eukaryota; Metazoa; Cnidaria; Anthozoa; Scleractinia; Pocilloporidae
Description: uncharacterized LOC113673293, transcript variant X1
Source: RNAcentral
AGAAGAUUUCAACAUGGCAAGCAACUCGAACAGGAUUCGUAUUCACGACAGAGAUGUUUUUGCUGCAAUAACCGAGGGUCCAGCAAAUGUAUUUUCAAGCACUCCUUUUCUUCUCGUAAAGGCCAGGUGGCUUGCAGAUGACUCAGCCCAAGUCUGUCCACUUUGCUCUCAGAAGUUUACACAAAUCCGGAGAAAACAUCACUGUAGGCAGUGUGGAAAAGUUCUCUGUAGCAAGUGUUGUAAUGAGAAGGUUCCUCUUCCACAACUUGGAUUUGAUGAGCCAGAGAGGAUCUGUGACUACUGUCUUGAAGUAACUUCCCUUGUCACAAAGUCAAGAUCACUUCAGAUGACAUUCAAACUAGAAGCAGCAAAAGCUUUAACAGAGUUAUGCAAAGAUCCUGAUGGACUCACAAAGGUUGUGGAGAUGGGUGGGGUGCAGACUCUUAUAUUUCUCAGUCAAAGUGAGAAUUAUGACGUAAAAGCUGCUGUUGCAUCAGGACUUCAGAUCCUUUCUACUCAUCCUCCAUUGCACUUAAUGUUGGCCAAAUGUGGAGGCAUUAGAGCCUUGUGCAGCAUACUUUCCACUGUCAGUGAGAGUCAGGAGCAAACCUUGAUUGAUGGAAUCAGUGCAUUGAUGAUAUUUUGUAAAUCACCUGAAUUAAAAGCACAAGCCUUAGCUGAUGGUGCAUUAGAUCCUGUGUUAACAGUGUGUGCAAUGAAAGAAGCCAUUGCCCUCCUUGCCCUGAUGACAUUGAGUCACAUUGUUGAGCAUCAUGGCAAUGUAGCUCCCCUUAUAGAGAGCAAUCGGAAUGCCCUGCCAAGAAUUCUAGCUUUGACAAAGGCACAAGAUGAAAAGAUUCAAGAAAUAUCCUUGAGAAUUUUGGCACAGAUGUCUGUUGGUACAGACUGGCAGAGGCAUCGCAUUGUUCAGGAAGAUUUCUCAGCUGGUCGAUGUUUAGUUGAAGCCCUUACAAGAGGACCAAAAAAUCUACAGGUCCUUGUAAAUGCAUCCUGUCUGAUUGCAAAUUUGGCAACAGGGGACCAAGAUCAGAUGUCCCUUAGGGAUUGUUUACAAGCCAUGUGUUCUCUGACGUCAUCUCACACUGGUCAUAAAGACGUCCAGACACAUGUAUCCAGAGCCCUUGGUAACUUUUCAAAGUUUCAUCAGAAUUCAUCUAUUAUGAUACAAUAUCUGCCAAGAAUUAUAGAGACACACCUGAAGUCAACAGAUAAGACGAUCAAGUGUCAUGGCCUAAGGACUGUCAUGUACCUUCUCAGCCAUCAAAGAGAAAAGGCUGUAGAUGUUCUGAUAAGGGAAGGAGCUCAUGAAGUUCUUACAAGUUUAGGAUCAUUUCCUGGCAUUGUUGAUGCAAUUCAAACUGGUUUGCUAAAAGUAGUCACCACCAUUAGGGACUGUACAGUCACAAAAUAAUAGUCAUAUUAAUUAGUGCUGAAGGAUAGUGUUAUUGUCAGUCAUUUUAACUUGAUUAUAUGUACAUGUAUGUUGUAAUUUUUGUAGAUAAGAAAGUGAUUGCCUUAAUUUGCUAUUUUGACUGAGAUAGAUUUUUAAGCCAAAAUGUAUCAUGUAAAGGUCUUUAUUUGAUGCGGAUUAGGAAAGUUAUUUUGGAAAAAAAACAGACUGGAAACACAGAACUUAGAAAUCUUUUAUCUAUAAAGGUUUUCAAAUGAGCUUGUUCAAAUUAGAAUUGAGUUUUAAUGAGGAAAACCUGGGUGAUCUUUUCCAGCUCUUGUAAAAUUUGUAGAUUAGAAUUUUACUUAAGGGUAAAUGAUAUUUUUAUAUCAGUAUAUUUGUAGAAGCUUCCUUCAGUACAGGGCUCUUAAAUUGACUUAAUUACAAGUCAUCCAGUUUCAUACCAGCCACAAAGAAGAACUAGUAAUCAGUUCUUGAGGAUUAAAGGGUUUUAAAUCAAUCAAAAAGAACAAAGGAUGAAUGUGGAUAGAGAUGAUUGAAACAGAUUAUGAUGACAAUCUGGAAAUAUUUUAGGUCAUAACUUUUCAAGAUGCUCAAAUGGUGACAUGUAUUGUCCUUUUGUUGUUUAGGCCAACAGAUGGUUCCUUGUAAAACUGUUUAGAUCUUAAAUUACUUACUCAAGAAGCUAUCCUGAAUUGUUUAGGGUUUUAACUAGACAAAAGUUGUCCCAAAAAUUAUCUCCCAUUUAUCAUGUUUAAGAAUUGCUGUGCCAAAUGUACCACAUUUUGAUGUCAUCUGUGUUCUACUACUGAACAGUGGCAUGGCAAUGUGGAAUCUAUUUGCUUUAUAUGAUACUAGAAAAUGUUGUAGAUUAUCUUCUGUUGACAACUGUAGUAGCAUGUGAAACCCCAAAGAUGAAUCAUUUUAGUUAACUGCAGACUUGUGCAUUCAAACCUAUGGAAAGUAUUUGGCUUAUUGACUCUCAGUGUGAUUUAAUUAUUUUCAUUCUUUUCACAGAAUGAAACAGUCAGUACUUCUCUCACUAGAUUAUAUAAAUGAAAAGAUAUUGCAUAAAAAAGUCUUCUUUUUAAAAUACUGUUUCCAAAGACAUAUUUGGAUGAUGCAGCAAUUUUACAGCAUGAAAAUAAUGGUUUGCAGAUGUAAGAGAAGAACACCAACCUAAUUUAGAUACAAAGCCCCUGCUUUCUGUAGGCAAGGACAGUUCUGUGUAUUUUACAUCGAAUUCUGCAUAGUUCAAUUUUUACUGAGUAAAUUUUCAUUUUAAAAUGGCCAACAUUGAGCUGAGCAAUAUCAAAUUCCACAAAUUUUAGGAUCUGUAAUGUUAUCUUGAUGUGAUAUCAUCAAUCUUUAAAGUUUAUGCAAAAAUUAAAUGUUAUUUUUAGACACCACAUGAAAUGAUCUAUACAUGCAUAUGUUCAUAUAUUGUAAAACUGAGCAAUAUUUUAGAGUUCAGUUAUAUACGUGCAGAGAUUUUCACUAUAUUGGUCUACACUCAAAUUUAAUCUAUGUGUUAAACAAGAAGCAGUAUCAGUUAUGAUUAUCAUGAUUGUGGAUUGUUGGUGUGCCAUGUAGUAGUGAAUUGUACUUGAUAAGGAAAUAAUUCAUGUUUACCUGAAUUGUAAUUUUAUAUUAAGGAAUGGAUAGGAAUUACUACACUGACAAUAACUGAAUAAAGAAAAGGAUUUUUUAAGCAAUGUUGCUAGAAAUGUGUAUGGUGUAUUGUUAAAAGGCUGUUAUCUAGUGUUAAAUUUGCCCAAUAAAUAUAAUUAAUUACCAAAUAAUGUAAUAAUGGCAUUAGCAGACUAUUUGAAAGUUUACAGCCUUUAUGAUACUAGCGCAGUCUGUUUUUUCUUUAAUUUAUCACAGUUUUCUUUAUGGUCUUGCUGUAGGUGGAUGUUGCCAAAAAAAAAAAGAGGGUUCAUUGUGCACUCAGCCUUCUGGCCUUCAUGGCUACAUCUUGGGUUGAUUAGUGAAGAGACUAGGGAUUAAACCAUGCAAAAGUAUCGUGUAAAAUUCAUUGUCUGGCAGAAACUCUGAUAUGCUGUGCAGUAAUGUGGAUCUGUGUAUGCCUACAGUCUGUGCAACAAUUGAAUCAAAUUUUUCUGAAAUUUUUCAGCCAUCAUUGACUGAAGCCAACAAAAUGUUUGAUGUAAUUUUUGAUGCUGAAUGUACAGAAUACAUAUUAAAUUUGCUAGUAAGCCUAGGAGAAUUUUUGAUAACCAUUUUAUCCAAGGUCAGUAGAACAAUUUGAUAAAUAUGGUGUGUAGUGUGUUAAGUACAUUAGGUAGGUGAAUGAGUGUGUAAUCUGCAGGUAUUUCCAUUUUGCAUUAUAUUUGCUGUGAUAAAAAUGAUACGUAAACAAUACAGCAAUACUGCACUAGUCUUGUAGUUUUCUGAUGCAGCAAUUUAAUUUAGAAGCAUAAUGUUACUCUAACUAGCAGAUAAACAGUUAGGUGUAUGCAAUUGCAUUCAGAGGGCCAAAUUGAAUUCUUUAUGGUUCCUAAGAAAUGAUUAACUUGACAAGAAUUGAUUUGGUGUGUAGUUUUUUGAAGUAAGUAGUGAUCGCACAUGUGUAUGCUAGGGUAGUAAAAUGUAUUGUUUCCUGACCUGAAUUGAAAUGGUUAAUUAUAUUCCAGGUGUCAUUGGUUUUUGUUUGAGAUAAAAUUGGUCAUGCAGGUCCAUUGCUAUCAGUGAUUUCAGUGUGCAGCAUAAUUUAAGUUAUAUAUUUACAGAAAACUUCAGAUCACACCAUUGUUGAAGCUCAAUAUAAAGGAAAUAGAAAUGGUGACAUGGUUCCCUGAAUUGCUUGUAGUCAACAAAAGUUACAUAUUCAGUAGGUAAUAACAUUCUUCAAGGCAAUUGGAAUUAAUGGUGACAAUUAGAAUAAUAAAAAAGUGAGAUCUUUA